CUCUCCAGCUCAGACGGUGCCCACACAUGUGGGGAGGAAGACGGAGAAUAAGGGCGUCGGAACAUAUCGAUGGCCAAGCAUGAUAGGCCAAAAGACCAUGUGUGUCAAGGUGCAAUACGAAUGAGGAAACAUCUGCAGAGGAAAGUACAGGAGACCAGGGAAGGUGCUGGAAGAUGAAAGGAACACAAGCACAUCCCAGAAUCUGUAGCUGAGUAUUACCACUGUUUCUCCUAACGGCAACACAUUUUGAACCAUGAAGAAUUCAAUACUGAAAAAACAGUGAUAAGCUGAAGUAUUAUGGAUCCCAGCACAUUUAACAUACAG
Molecule: long non-coding RNA, 324 nt
Organism: Paramormyrops kingsleyae
Lineage: Eukaryota; Metazoa; Chordata; Actinopteri; Osteoglossiformes; Mormyridae
Source: RefSeq, a predicted model, not a curated record